RNAcentral lists this unclassified non-coding RNA (218 nucleotides) under uncultured Thelephoraceae. Its description in RNAcentral is "sequence contains ITS2". Lineage: Eukaryota; Fungi; Basidiomycota; Agaricomycetes; Thelephorales; Thelephoraceae. The record is from RNAcentral.
ACACCUCAACUCUCAUGGUUUGCCAUGAUGAGCUUGGACUCUGGGGGUCUUGCUGGCCUAUGGUCAGCUCCUCUCAAAUAAAUCAGCUUGCCAGUGUUUGGUGGCAUCACAGGUGUGAUAACUAUCUACGCUUGUGGUUUUCCAUCAAGGUAACCUUCAGUGAUGGAGGUUCGCUGGAGCUCAUAAAUGUCCCUCCUCAGCGAGGACAGCUUUUGAAC